RNAcentral lists this unclassified non-coding RNA (337 nucleotides) under soil metagenome. RNAcentral describes it as "partial contains 5.8S ribosomal RNA, internal transcribed spacer 2, and large subunit ribosomal RNA". The stretch from base 1 to 120 matches the Rfam family "5.8S ribosomal RNA", at positions 35 to 154 of the family's 154-position model. The record is from RNAcentral.
GAUGAAGAACGCAGUGAAAUGCGAUAAGUAAUGUGAAUUGCAGAAUUCCGUGAAUCAUCGAAUCUUUGAACGCACAUUGCGCCCCCUGGCAUUCCGGGGGGCAUGCCUGUCCGAGCGUCAUUUCUGCCCUCAAGCACGGCUUGUGUGUUGGGUGUGGUCCCCCCGGGGACCUGCCCGAUAGGCAGCGGCGACGUCCGUCUGGUCCUCGAGCGUAUGGGGCUCUGUCACUCGCUCGGGAAGGACCUGCGGGGGUUGGUCACCACUAUAUUUUACCACGGUUGACCUCGGAUCAGGUAGGAGUUACCCGCUGAACUUAAGCAUAUCAAUAAGCGGAGGA